Molecule: ribosomal RNA, 1272 nt
Filed under: Triticum aestivum (bread wheat)
Lineage: Eukaryota; Viridiplantae; Streptophyta; Magnoliopsida; Poales; Poaceae
Description: partial small subunit ribosomal RNA
Source: RNAcentral
AUGGGUUGUGGGGCGUCGAAAUGGAGGGGUCCCGGUGUUGUGCGCCGGGGGAGGCCAAGAAGUGUCGGGGAGGUGGUCGUCUUCCUCCCGGGGCUCCGGGUACCUAGGACCGUAGACUUCUCGCAGUCUCUCGGUGAUCACCUCGACAAGAGCACGGUGGAGAGGCUGUCUUCUCUAAGAGCAACGGUCAUGACAAUGGCAAUGCAGGAAUCGGCCAUGGCCCUGAAGCCGAGGCGAAGGGCGACGCGGCACGGAGGGUCUGGCACUGCUAAUCUUCUCCAGGCUUUGGAAGACUACCUGCCAGUUCUGCUAGGACUGGUGAAAGAAAAACUGGCAGUUUGUUUGAGAAACAAAGUGCAGUUUGUUUGGGCUAACCAAGAGGACGAUGCUGAGGAGACAUCCAUGGCUGAUGCUUGGUAUGAGGUGCUGUCUGUGCUGCACCUCAUGGCCAUGGUGUGCUUCCUGCAGGCCAACUCCCUGCUUCUGCCGAGGUCAUACGGCGAGGGCCAUGGGCCAAGGGUCUCUGAAGAGAGCAGGCGAGCCACUGUUGAUGUUUUCUUGAAAGCCGGUGGGUACUUGGAUUGUGCAAUUAAUCAAGUACUUCCGCAGAUACCGCCUGAAAAAAGAAGGGCACUCCCGGUAGAUCUAGUUGAGGGAAAUCUAAAAGCUCUUAGCUUGCAAGGACUUGGCCAGGGAGUUGAUAUGCAACUUGGAUUGGCAAUUGAUAAUCCAAAGGCCACUUUAGCAGUCAAACGGCGUUUAGCUUGCGAGAUGGUCAAAUAUUGGCAGCAGAUUAAGGAUAGCAUACCAGAGCUUCCUUUGUCGGAUGGAUGGGCGAAAAAGCACACACUAUUUGUUAAGUGGAAGUAUGCUGAAGCAAAGGCUGCUGCAUACUACUUCCAUGGGUUGAUUCUUGAUGAGGGAAACACCGAGAAAUCACAGGAGAUGGCAACAUCAUCCCUACAAGCGUCAGAGGAGUUUCUGAAAGAGAGCAAAAGAGCCUCUGAGGUCUUCCAUUCGACUCCUCCGACAUCAAGGAUCUCAACUCCUUUCGGAACAACCAAACAUCUCUUGGAUAUGAUCCCAAAAGAGACAUUAAGCAAGCUACAGAAUAACCAGGACCUUAACACCCAAGAAAGAACAUCGAAUACCGGAGUCAGCCGGAUCAUCACACCGCCGCCUCCAUUGCCAGAUUUCCCUUUGGCCCUAAAUCCUGAGGAAUAUGAGCUUCCCCAAUUAGGCCCGCUGUUGAAGAAGGAAGCUAACCACUAA